Molecule: ribosomal RNA, 1044 nt
Filed under: Penicillium limosum
Lineage: Eukaryota; Fungi; Ascomycota; Eurotiomycetes; Eurotiales; Aspergillaceae
Description: SSU rRNA
Rfam family: Eukaryotic small subunit ribosomal RNA
Source: RNAcentral
AGCACUUUAUACUGUGAACUGCGAAUGGCUCAUUAAAUCAGUUAUCGUUUAUUUGAUAGUACCUUACUACAUGGAUACCUGUGGUAAUUCUAGAGCUAAUACAUGCUAAAAACCCCGACUUCAGGAAGGGGUGUAUUUAUUAGAUAAAAAACCAACGCCCUUCGGGGCUCCUUGGUGAAUCAUAAUAACUUAACGAAUCGCAUGGCCUUGCGCCGGCGAUGGUUCAUUCAAAUUUCUGCCCUAUCAACUUUCGAUGGUAGGAUAGUGGCCUACCAUGGUGGCAACGGGUAACGGGGAAUUAGGGUUCGAUUCCGGAGAGGGAGCCUGAGAAACGGCUACCACAUCCAAGGAAGGCAGCAGGCGCGCAAAUUACCCAAUCCCGAUACGGGGAGGUAGUGACAAUAAAUACUGAUACGGGGCUCUUUUGGGUCUCGUAAUUGGAAUGAGAACAAUUUAAAUCCCUUAACGAGGAACAAUUGGAGGGCAAGUCUGGUGCCAGCAGCCGCGGUAAUUCCAGCUCCAAUAGCGUAUAUUAAAGUUGUUGCAGUUAAAAAGCUCGUAGUUGAACCUUGGGUCUGGCUGGCCGGUCCGCCUCACCGCGAGUACUGGUCCGGCUGGACCUUUCCUUCUGGGGAACCUCAUGGCCUUCACUGGCUGUGGGGGGAACCAGGACUUUUACUGUGAAAAAAUUAGAGUGUUCAAAGCAGGCCUUUGCUCGAAUACAUUAGCAUGGAAUAAUAGAAUAGGACGUGCGGUUCUAUUUUGUUGGUUUCUAGGACCGCCGUAAUGAUUAAUAGGGAUAGUCGGGGGCGUCAGUAUUCAGCUGUCAGAGGUGAAAUUCUUGGAUUUGCUGAAGACUAACUACUGCGAAAGCAUUCGCCAAGGAUGUUUUCAUUAAUCAGGGAACGAAAGUUAGGGGAUCGAAGACGAUCAGAUACCGUCGUAGUCUUAACCAUAAACUAUGCCGACUAGGGAUCGGACGGGAUUCUAUGAUGACCCGUUCGGCACCUUACGAGAAAUCAAAGUUUUUGGGUUCUGGGGGGA